UCUCUGCGUGUACAAUCGAGCAUACAGAAACCUUUCAGAACAACGCCACAAUGUUAAAAUACUAGAUGCCAAAAUUUUCGUAGUGAGACUCCCGAAGAGCCUCUUCUCAAAACUAUGCGUUUAAUAAGGAUUAUAGUUAUUGUGUUUUUGGUAGCAAUAAGCGAGUUCGAUCGGAACUUUGCCAUAAACUAUGACAAUGCCGGAAUUGUUCUAAGGGAAAUAAACAAGAGAAGAAAUCGCCAUGGAGUCCCAAAAUUGAAAUUGGACAACGUACUCAGUAACGAAUGCCAAAGUUAUGCUUGGAAACUGUCCAAGUCGGCGACUCUUAACUAUUCGGAUCCCACUAACAAGGAUUACACAGAAAGCAUCUGCAAAUUUGAAGUUAAGAGGGGAGCACUGUCGAGAUGUGUCAAAAACUGGUAUAGAGGAAGAAAAUUGGAUAUCUUAGACCCCAAGGCUAAAGAUUUCACUGCCAUGAUUUGGAGGUCGUCCGUUUCCUUGGGCUAUGGCGACGCAAACAUAAAUUCUCUGCAAGGGGUUUUCGUGGUCAGAUACACUCCACCUGGAAAUGUGAAAGGAUUGUACAAGGACAAUGUUCCUCCCAGGAAGAGAAAACAAAAGAAAAAAAAGAAACAAAACAAACGAAAAGAAGACUGUGCCAGUCGUCCGGAUAAUCGAUGUGUCUUUUUGUUGUCCAUUCUUUUCUUGGUGUCUACUAAUUGGCAAAAUUAAUGUCUGCUAUCUGGAACUAGCUAGUCAUAGUCUUCUUAAAUGAAAAUUAUUUGUUUUUUCUUCGUUGGCACUUCGUAGGCACCGAACGCUCGGACAUGUUCCCUGAUUCGGACCGCAUUGAUGGCGAUAAAUCCACCGGCAUCCU
Drosophila mauritiana is the source of this 877-nucleotide RNA transcript. It is a transcript of the gene named Golgi-associated plant pathogenesis-related protein 1, with no coding region annotated. The transcript has 6 exons. The record is from RefSeq and is a predicted model, not a curated record. Lineage: Eukaryota; Metazoa; Arthropoda; Insecta; Diptera; Drosophilidae.